Helianthus annuus (common sunflower) is the source of this 89-nucleotide non-coding RNA. The record is from Rfam. Lineage: Eukaryota; Viridiplantae; Streptophyta; Magnoliopsida; Asterales; Asteraceae.
CGGCAAUGACUUGAUUGGUUUAUCCGCGCUUCUGAGUGUAACCUGUGAAGCAAAAGAUAUAAAAUGGUUGAAUUUCUUAAUAUGAGCCG